This 2590-nucleotide unclassified non-coding RNA is filed under the name Hevea brasiliensis (rubber tree). The record is from RNAcentral. Lineage: Eukaryota; Viridiplantae; Streptophyta; Magnoliopsida; Malpighiales; Euphorbiaceae.
GAGAGAGAGAGAGAGAGAGUGUGUUAAGAAAGCUGCAAUCAGAGACAUUUGGCAUUCCAAUUCAGUUUAUCUGAAUUCCCUUCUCUUAAGUUGGUUCCUUAAGGUUACCCAUUUUUCUGAUAACAAAAAUCAACUUCAAAACUUAGAACUGUCCAUUCCACAUUAGCAGGUGAUAAGUCGGUUCCAUAAGUCAGGCAAUAAGCAGUCUGACUAGGAACUUACUACAACAGCACAACUGCAGUAGGUGCAAUCACGGGAAAGAGAUUAAUAACAGCAAACCAUUGCAACACACUUUCAUAUUAUUUCCUAGAAAACAAUUUGAGUGGCUAACAACUUCAGAAUUGCAAGUGUGUCAGAUAUUAAGUAUAUUACCUAAAUGCAAAACCGACUUCUAGAACAAAUGAUUGCGGCAACUUAACUAGACUGAACCCAGCUUUGUUAAAUAUCACAGUAAAUUGGACAUAAAAUUAAAGAGAUCUUGUAUUGUUUGCUUGGAAAUUAAUUACAAAGUUGAAAGAAAUUAAAUAAUAAGGCUUGGAAAUUAAAUGCAAAACUGCAAAAAUAAAAGACUAAUAAAAUAAGUGAUAAAUUAGCUGAUGGAGUCUGAUUUGGUUGAUUGAUUGAAUUGUUGGGGCCUUUCCUUUAGCAAGUCACCAUCUAUUCAUAGCUUCACCUCAAGGAACUUGGAAGCCUCUGGAACCCAUUAACUUCACAUUCUGCACUUCAAAGAAGUUACCGUCCACUACUUGAAACUGCUUCUAACUCCCCACUCUGCAGAUAUCCACCUUAUAACUCCCCACUUAAUAUUAACUUCUACUCAUAAUUAUCACCAAAAUAAUAAAAUAAGUAUUCAUUUAGGCCUCAUAAUUAAAUUAAUACAAUAAAAUUAAUUAAAUUAAUUUCACAUAAAAAUUAACUUAAUUAAUCAUGGGCUAAAAAAUAAUUAAUGAUAAAAAUUAAUUAUUUUGGUGCAAACAUAUAUUACGGGCAUGAUGAUAGAAGAUGCAAGGCAAUAAAAAGCAUGCUAGUAAAUCAUUAUGUUAAACAGAAGGAAGACAAAAUCAGUAUGUAAAACAAAGAUGGAAUAUACUGUUCCAAUGUUUCAAGAUUUGAGACCACAUCAAUACCUCCUAAUUACAGAGACACCACAUAACCUCUUACAGAAAUCCACACCAGUGUAUACGGACCCAGUGGGAGUGGUCACCUGCUUUUCUGUAAAUGGUAGAUGUCCCAGACCAUGUUCAACAACCUUUCAAAAGUACAAGAAAGUUCAUGUACCAAUAUACAAUACAAAAGCAAAAACUUGCGAUAUGAAGUGGAAAAAAAAAUCAACCAAUUGGUGGCAAAGAAAUAAAUAAUAAAUAAAUAUACCAAGCGAAUCAACCGAUCAGCAUAAAAAACAAAGUCGUGUUUUGUUGUUUGAGAAUCGCGUAUAAGGGUAUGCAUACCUCGUAUCUGCAAGAGAAUAACAACAAUUAUUGGAUUUAAAUAAGCAAAAACUACUAGAUAUUGAACCAAAUGAACCACUGAUAUAUGCUUUGUGAUCAAAAUUAACUCCAUAAAAGGUAGUUAUCACAGUGUUAGGCAGAAGUAGUACACGAAGCCAUACCUGAAAAGUUGAUUGAAUGACAUACAAAUUAUGGUAUAUUUUACAAAGAUCAUGUUGACCAAGCUUUGUACGAAUAUGCUGUACAAUCAAAUCAACAGCUACAUGAUUAUCUCCUCCUCGGGGAAUUAUUAUAUCUGCAUAUUUCUUUGUCGGAAGUAUGAAGUCAUCAAAAGCUGGCUUCACAAAUUUUGAGUACUGAUCGAGGACUGCGCCAAUAUCUCUACCCUUCUCAACAGUAUCACGCCUUAUUCUUCUUGCCAGACGUACAUCAGCAUCUGUAUCAACAAAUAUCUUCAUAUUCAUCAAAUCUCGAACACGAGGAUCAUGGAAAACAAGUAUGCCUUCCAAUAUUAUAACAUCUGAAGGAUUGACCCUUCUUGCAGGAAAAACAUCAUUUUUGUAACUCUUGAAGUCAUAGUUUGGAAUAUCUACUGCUUGCCCAUGCCUCAACUUCUCCAUAUCACAUAAUAGUUGUUCAGUAUCAAAUGCAUCCGGAUGGUCAAAGUUAUAUUCAUGAACUCGUGUAAGUUCCUCUUCAGUCAGAUUGUGGUAAAAUGAAUCCUGGUUAACAAGUACAACACGCUGAUCAUGAAGUUGCUGAAUAAUCAUAUCACAAACUGUAGUCUUUCCAGAAGCCGCCCCCCCAGCAACCCCAAUGACAAAAGGUUGCUUAUAUAUCUUUUCAGUUGAAGAGGUUGUUGGUUGCCCCAUCUCUGUAUUCCUUGACUCCAAACCAUCCAUAUGAAACCCAGAAAAAUGGACCCCAGAGGAUGCCUCUAUCAUAUCCACAACUGAUUUAGAACCCAUUGGAAUAGACCUUAUGUAAACUCGAAUCAGAAACGAAUGGAGAGGUAGAGAGAUUCAAUUUACCUUUAUUUUAUCGUAAUUAUUUUUGUUAAAAAAAAAAUUCAAUCAUUAUUAUUAUUACCAAUAUUAGAGAGAAAAAAACGAGAGAGAGAGCAAUUCCGAGCUGAGCCAAUC